Molecule: ribosomal RNA, 477 nt
Filed under: uncultured bacterium
Lineage: Bacteria
Description: SSU rRNA
Rfam family: Bacterial small subunit ribosomal RNA
Source: RNAcentral
AGGACGAACGCUGGCGGCGUGCCUAACACAUGCAAGUCGAACGCGCUCCAUUCGGUAGCAAUACUGAUGAAGAGUGAGUGGCGAACGGGUGAGUAACACAUGAGCAACCUGCCCCGAAGACUGGGACAACACCGGGAAACCGGUGCUAAUACCGGAUAUCCCUAUCGGACCGCAUGAUCUGAUAAGGAAAUGGAUUCCGCUUCGGGAGGGGCUCGUGGCCUAUCAGCUAGUUGGUGAGGUAACGGCUCACCAAGGCAUCGACGGGUAGCUGGUCUGAGAGGACGAUCAGCCACACUGGGACUGAGACACGGCCCAGACUCCUACGGGAGGCAGCAGUGGGGAAUCUUGCGCAAUGGGCGAAAGCCUGACGCAGCAACGCCGCGUGGAGGACGAAGGCUUUCUGAGUUGUAAACUCCUUUCAGCAGGGACGAUAGUGACGGUACUGCAGAGAGCACGGCCAACUACGUGCCAGCACGG